This 253-nucleotide ribosomal RNA is filed under the name uncultured bacterium. RNAcentral describes it as "partial 16S ribosomal RNA". It matches the Rfam family "Bacterial small subunit ribosomal RNA", at positions 524 to 776 of the family's 1533-position model. The record is from RNAcentral.
UACGAAGGGGGCUAGCGUUGUUCGGAAUUACUGGGCGUAAAGCGCGCGCAGGCGGUUCUUCAAGUCAGAGGUGAAAGCCCAGAGCUCAACUCUGGAAUGGCCUUUGAGACUAGAGAACUAGGGUACGGGAGAGGUGAGUGGAAUUCCGAGUGUAGAGGUGAAAUUCGUAGAUAUGCGGAGGAACACCGGUGGCGAAGGCGGCCAUCUGGACAGCCACUGACGCUGAGACGCGAAAGCGUGGGGAGCAAACAGG